RNAcentral lists this ribosomal RNA (270 nucleotides) under uncultured archaeon. Its description in RNAcentral is "partial 16S ribosomal RNA". It matches the Rfam family "Archaeal small subunit ribosomal RNA", at positions 477 to 747 of the family's 1478-position model. The record is from RNAcentral.
CAGCACCUCAAGUGGUCAGGAUGACUAUUGGGCCUAAAGCAUCCGUAGCCGGCGCUGUAAGUUUUCGGUUAAAUCUGUACGCUCAACGUACAGGCUGCCGGGAAUACUGCAGCGCUAGGGAGUGGGAGAGGUAGACGGUACUCGGUAGGAAGGGGUAAAAUCCUUUGAUCUAUUGAUGACCACCUGUGGCAAAGGCGGUCUACCAGAACACGUCCGACGGUGAGGGAUGAAAGCUGGGGGAGCAAACCGGAUUAGAUACCCGAGUAGUCC